GGUAGGACUACCCGCUGAACUUAAGCAUAUCAAUAAGC
Molecule: ribosomal RNA, 38 nt
Filed under: Laccaria laccata
Lineage: Eukaryota; Fungi; Basidiomycota; Agaricomycetes; Agaricales; Hydnangiaceae
Also listed under: 1 other name
Description: partial 28S ribosomal RNA
Source: RNAcentral